CCUGGGCCUGCACCCCAGAUUCAGGGUCCCCCGCCCUUGCAGGUACACAGCUGUGGCCAUGCCCAUGCUGUACAAUACGCGCUACAGCUCCAAGCGCCGGGUCACCGUCAUGAUCUCCAUCGUCUGGGUCCUGUCCUUCACCAUCUCCUGCCCACUCCUCUUCGGACUCAAUAACGCAGGUACAUUCUGCUUUUGUUUGCCUGAGGCUCAGCUGGCCC
Molecule: long non-coding RNA, 218 nt
Filed under: Homo sapiens (human)
Lineage: Eukaryota; Metazoa; Chordata; Mammalia; Primates; Hominidae
Description: non-protein coding lnc-TMPRSS5-1:1
Source: RNAcentral